AAGCGUGUGCAGAUGUAGAGAUAAUUUUAGUAUUUGACUUGUUAGAAAUGCUUUUAUUUUGAUAUAAAAUAUAAUUUGCUCUCUUUAUGUAUGUGAAUAUGAUAUCUAUGUCUAAUACUAUAUAUGUCAAUUACUGUGUUUUCCAAGUAUUGCACAAUUGACACAUUCUUGUGAUGUCGUCACAAGAUCGAUCCGAAAGCUGAUGCUCAAACCGCAUGGAAUGGAAGUUGAAGUGGCUGUCAAUGUAAAAUACGCCGAUGAUCUUCAUCUUGUUGGUCUUUCUUGAAGUGGCGGUCAAUGGAAAUGCCUGUCAUGAAUUAUUGAGCUAUUGAGGUAUAACUCACUUCUAUUUUUGUUAGCAUGCAUUAUUUUUUAGUUUAAUGAGGAAAGUUUAGUUAUUUUAGUAUAAAAAAAGAUUCAAAAUUACAGUCAGUUGGCAAAGCAGGUGUGAAGGGCUAUUGGGUUUGAUCCCCAAUAAACGCACCUGCAGGAAGGGAUGAAGGGCCUUAAUUGUGACUAAACUCUGAGCCGGAUGAGGUGGUCCCUGGUAAUAUAGUCUGGAUAUCAAU
RNAcentral lists this long non-coding RNA (569 nucleotides) under Jatropha curcas. RNAcentral describes it as "long non-coding RNA (JCUR_LNC001778)". Lineage: Eukaryota; Viridiplantae; Streptophyta; Magnoliopsida; Malpighiales; Euphorbiaceae. The record is from RNAcentral.